RNAcentral lists this ribosomal RNA (455 nucleotides) under uncultured bacterium. Its description in RNAcentral is "bacterial SSU rRNA". It matches the Rfam family "Bacterial small subunit ribosomal RNA", at positions 340 to 786 of the family's 1533-position model. The record is from RNAcentral.
UACGGGAGGCAGCAGUGGGGAAUAUUGCACAAUGGGCGAAAGCCUGAUGCAGCUAUGCCGCGUGUAUGAAGAAGGCCUUAGGGUUGUAAAGUACUUUCAUCGGGGAGGAAAAACAAAACUAAUAAUUUUAUUUCUUGACGUUACCCGAAAAAGAAGCACCGGCUAACUCCGUGCCAGCAGCCGCGGUAAUACGGAGGGUGCUAGCGUUAAUCAGAAUUACUGGGCGUAAAGAGCACGUAGGUGGUUUUUUUAAAGUCAGAUGUGAAUCCCUGGGCUUAACCUAGGAACUGCAUUUUGAAACUGAAAUACUAGAGUAUCGUAGAGGGAGGUAGAAUUCUAGGUGUAGCGGUGAAAUGCGUAGAUAUCUGGAGGAAUACCUGUGGCGAAAGCGGCCUCCUAAACGAAUACUGACACUGAGGUGCGAAAGCGUGGGGAGCAAACGAGGAUUAGAUACC